CCGUAUACGCCCUACGGGGGAAAAAUUUAUUGCUAUUAGAUGAGCCUAUAUUAGAUUAGUUAGUUGGUGAGGUAAAGGCUUACCAAGACAAUGAUCUAUAGCUGAUCUGAGAGGAUGAUCAGCCACACUGGAACUGAGAUACGGUCCAGACUCCUACGGGAGGCAGCAGUGGGGAAUAUUGGACAAUGGGCGAAAGCCUGAUCCAGCCAUGCCGCAUGAGUGAAGAAGGCCUUCGGGUUGUAAAGCUCUUUUAGUGAGGAAGAUAAUGACGGUACUCACAGAAGAAGUCCUGGCUAACUCCGUGCCAGCAGCCGCGGUAAUACGGAGAGGGCUAGCGUUAUUCGGAAUCAUUGGGCGUAAAGGGCGCGUAGGCGGGUUAGUAAGUUAAAAGUGAAAUCCCAAGGCUCAACCUUGGAACUGCUUUUAAAACUGCUAGUCUAGAGAUUGAAAGAGGAUAGAGGAAUUCCUAGUGUAGAGAUGAAAUUCGUAAAUAUUAGGAGGAACACCAGUGGCGAAGGCGUCUAUCUGGUUCAAAUCUGACGCUGAGGCGCGAAGGCGUGGGGAGCAAACAGGAUUAGAUACCCUGNUAGUCCACGCUGUAAACGAUGAAUGUUAAAUAUGGGAAGUUUACUUUCUGUAUUAUAGCUAACGCGUUAAACAUUCCGCCUGGGGACUACGGUCGC
Molecule: ribosomal RNA, 683 nt
Filed under: uncultured Hyphomicrobiales bacterium
Lineage: Bacteria; Pseudomonadati; Pseudomonadota; Alphaproteobacteria; Hyphomicrobiales
Description: bacterial SSU rRNA
Rfam family: Bacterial small subunit ribosomal RNA
Source: RNAcentral